Molecule: unclassified non-coding RNA, 330 nt
Filed under: Hevea brasiliensis (rubber tree)
Lineage: Eukaryota; Viridiplantae; Streptophyta; Magnoliopsida; Malpighiales; Euphorbiaceae
Source: RNAcentral
GCUUAGCAAAGCCACUGCAGAAAUAUAGAUUUUCUCCGAUGAAGGAAUUUGUUAGAUUAAGCCGUUAUGGAAGGGAAAUAGUCCCUAAUGAGGCCGAAAGGUGUAAAAGAUUUGAAGAGGGACUAAAUGAUAACAUCAAGAUUCAGCUCACUGCCUUGGGAAUCACCGAAUUUACCAAGUUAGUGGAAGCUGCCAUAAAGGUUGAAAAAGUGAGAAUUAGUGAGUGGACUAGAAGAGAGAGACAGCAGAAGAGGGGACCGGGUCAGUCUAGUUCAGCUCCUGCAUCAGGGAAGAAGUUUAAGGGUCCUCCUGCACAGAGUUCGGGUCAGC